AAAUUAUAUUCUAGAAUACAGAUUUCACAUAAAAGUAUUAUAUGAACAUAUAAUUUAAAGUCUUUAAUAUAUACAUUCAAAUUGCAAUAUUACAUGAGUACAUAAGUGGACAGAUAAACGGAGUAAAGGUUUUUUUCCCAGAAUUUUAAAGAUGCAAUGCACACUUGGUUUUUUAAUCCAUAUAUUGUUAUUUUACACUUCAACAUUAUCUCAUUACAGAUUGCAAAUUUUCGAGGGGGGUGUAAGAAGACAAAUCUGCUAUAUAGUUAGUAACUGCAAUAAGGAGUUGUGUAAGUAAAUAAUAUAGUUAGUUAGUGACAAAACAUAUGCUAUAUAAUCAAUAAUAUUUGUUAGUUAUUUAAUCAAGUGUGUUAAGUUUCUCUGAAAGUAAUGCUUGCCAAGAUUCUACAGAUUUGUAGACUCCUGUCACCUAAAUUUCUCCACAAAUAGUCUUGGGUAUUAAAGUUAUUUUGAAUCUUGGGGAUACAAAUAGAUAGAAAAUUUAGGUGAAGAAAAAAUACCCAAAUGGUAUUGGGAAAACAGAUACAAACAAUCUUUGUAAAAACAGAAAAAAUACCCAAAUGGUAAAGGAACCAAAGAUGGAUUAUGGAAUCUGACCUUGAAGUUGUCGGAAUGGACUGGAGGUCUAUCCCUCACCACACUGUUCGCUGGACAGGAAGUAUCGCCUUCGCCGAAUGGAAGUAUCGCUCUCGUAGGAUCUCGGUAUCGCUGGUCCAGACUCUCACUCAAAACUCGUUGUUGGUCACGGAAUCAACUUGCCGCUUGCCGCUCGCCUCUCACCAGAAAUCGAAGUUGGAAUCACCGGAGGUGGGGGUGGGAGAAAAACACGAUUUGGGAAAUAAAAGAUUUAACUUUUAACGCUUGAUCGAUAUCUAUUGUUUAAUUUAGGAAUUUUUGUUUAUUUAUAAUUUUUGACUAUUACAUUUUACAAUUUACACGUUUUGUAAUUUUUUACCUUAACACGUUUACUGGUUUUGAUUUAUU
Molecule: long non-coding RNA, 1005 nt
Filed under: Zostera marina
Lineage: Eukaryota; Viridiplantae; Streptophyta; Magnoliopsida; Alismatales; Zosteraceae
Description: long non-coding RNA (ZMAR_LNC000462)
Source: RNAcentral